AUUGAACGCUGGCGGCAGGCCUAACACAUGCAAGUCGAGCGGAUGAAGGGAGCUUGCUCCUGGAUUCAGCGGCGGACGGGUGAGUAAUGCCUAGGAAUCUGCCUGGUAGUGGGGGAUAACGUCCGGAAACGGGCGCUAAUACCGCAUACGUCCUGAGGGAGAAAGUGGGGGAUCUUCGGACCUCACGCUAUCAGAUGAGCCUAGGUCGGAUUAGCUAGUUGGUGGGGUAAAGGCCUACCAAGGCGACGAUCCGUAACUGGUCUGAGAGGAUGAUCAGUCACACUGGAACUGAGACACGGUCCAGACGCCUACGGGAGGCAGCAGUGGGGAAUAUUGGACAAUGGGCGAAAGCCUGAUACAGCCAUGCCGCGUGUGUGAAGAAGGUCUUCGGAUUGUAAAGAACUUUAAGUUGGGAGGAGGGGCAGUAAGUUAAUACCUUGCUGCUUUGACGUUACCAACAGAAUAAGCACCGGCUAACUUCGUG
Molecule: ribosomal RNA, 484 nt
Filed under: uncultured bacterium
Lineage: Bacteria
Description: partial 16S ribosomal RNA
Rfam family: Bacterial small subunit ribosomal RNA
Source: RNAcentral